RNAcentral lists this ribosomal RNA (306 nucleotides) under uncultured bacterium. RNAcentral's name for it is "partial 16S ribosomal RNA". It matches the Rfam family "Bacterial small subunit ribosomal RNA", at positions 507 to 807 of the family's 1533-position model. The record is from RNAcentral.
GACAGCAGUCGCCGCGGUAACACGUAGGUGGCAAGCGUUGUCCGGAAUUAUUGGGCGUAAAGGGCUCGCAGGCGGUUUCUUAAGUCUGAUGUGAAAGCCCCCGGCUCAACUGGGGAGGGUCAUUGGAAACUGGGAAACUUGAGUGCAGAAGAGGAGAGUGGAAUUCCACGUGUAGCGGUGAAAUGCGUAGAGAUGUGGAGGAACACCAGUGGCGAAGGCGACUCUCUGGUCUGUAACUGACGCUGAGGAGCGAAAGCGUGGGGAGCGAACAGGAUUAGAUACCCCUGUAGUCCCUGUCUCUUAUAC